AUUGAACGCUGGCGGCAUGCCUUACACAUGCAAGUCGAACGGUAACAGGUUAAGCUGCCGAGUGGCGAACGGGUGAGUAAUGUAUCGGAACGUGCCCAGUCGUGGGGGAUAACUGCUCGAAAGAGCAGCUAAUACCGCAUACGACCUGAGGGUGAAAGCGGGGGAUCGCAAGACCUCGCGCGAUUGGAGCGGCCGAUAUCAGAUUAGGUAGUUGGUGAGGUAAAGGCUCACCAAGCCGACGAUCUGUAGCUGGUCUGAGAGGACGACCAGCCACACUGGGACUGAGACACGGCCCAGACUCCUACGGGAGGCAGCAGUGGGGAAUUUUGGACAAUGGGCGCAAGCCUGAUCCAGCCAUGCCGCGUGCGGGAAGAAGGCCUUCGGGUUGUAAACCGCUUUUGCCAGGGAAGAAAAGGUUCUGGCUAAUACCUGGGACUCAUGACGGUACCUGAAGAAUAAGCACCGGCUAACUACGUG
This 477-nucleotide ribosomal RNA is filed under the name uncultured bacterium. Its description in RNAcentral is "partial 16S ribosomal RNA". It matches the Rfam family "Bacterial small subunit ribosomal RNA", at positions 30 to 507 of the family's 1533-position model. The record is from RNAcentral.